CUCGUCCUCUGUCGUCCCCUUCUCCUUGUGCCCUCCAUCUUUCCCAACAUUAGGGUCUUUUCCAGGGAGUCUUCUCUUCUCAUGAGGUGGCCAAAGUAUUGGAGCCUCAGCUUCAGGAUCUGUCCUUCCAGUGAGCACUCAGGGCUGAUUUCCUUAAGAAUGGAUAGGUUUGAUCUUCUUGCAGACCAUGGGUCUCUCAAGAGUCUCCUCCAGCACCAUAAUUCAAAAGCAUCAAUUCUUUGGUGAUCAGCCUUCUUUAUGGUUCAGCUCUCACUUCCAUACAUCACUGCUGGGAAAACCAUAGCUUUAACUAUCCGGACCUUUGUUGGCAAGGUGAUGUCUCUGCUUUUUAAGAUGCUGUCUAGGUUUAUCAUUGCUUUCCUCCCAAGAAGCAGAUGUCUUUUAAUUUCGUGACCGCUGUCACCAUCUGCAGUGAUCAUGGAGCCCAAGAAAGUAAAAUCUCUCACUGCCUCCAUUUCUUCCCCUUCUAUUUGCCAGGAGGUGAUGGGCCCAGUGGCCAUGAUCUUUGUUUUCUUGAUGUUGCGCUUCAGACCAUAUUUUGCGCUCUCCUCUUUCACCCUCAUUAAAAGGUUCUUUAAUUCCUCCUCACUUUCUGCCAUCAGAGUUGUGUCAUCUGCAUAUCUGAGGUUGUUGAUAUUUCUUCCGGUAAUUUUAAUUCCAGUUUGGGAUUCAUCCAGCCCAGCCUUUCGCAUGAUGAAUUCUGCAUAUAAGUUAAAUAAGUGGGGAGACAAUAUACAGCCUUGUCGUACUCCUGUCCCAAUUUUGAACCAAUCAGUUGUUCCAUAUCUAGUUCUAACUGUAGCUUCUUCUCCCACAUAGAGAUUUCUCAGGAGACAGAUGAGGUGAUCAGGCACUCCCAUUUCUUUAAGAACUUGCCAUAGUUUGCUGUGGUUAGCACACUCAAAGGCUUCAGCUGGAAUAUCAUCACCUCCACUGGCCUUGUUAUUAUCAGUGCUUUCUAAGGCCCAUUUGACUUCACUCUCCAGGAUGUCAGCACCCACACUACCUGGGGUGUACGAGCCAUCCUUAUCAUUCUGGUAUAAUUCCUCUGUGUAUUUGUUGGGUGUAGUGAAGGGUUAACCUUCUGUGUCUCGAGGCUGAGAGGAGGCGCUUACAAGGGAAGUAAGCCAGGACAUGACGGAAGCAGCUUGGAAUGCUGUGAGCUGAGUGAAAAGUGAAAGCAGCUUAGUUGCGCAACUGCCACUGAGAGAGAAGGAUGCAAACAGGGAGCAAAAUGCAGCUUCAAUCAGAUGGUGUAUAUGAACUGUAAACAUGCUAUUUCUGAGCAAAUAAAGUGCUACUAGGAAAGAAGAAACGUGUGGGACUCUUUUACUGCCCUUUCUACACGAACCGCUGUGCAAUUCUGCUAAUUGCUUUACAACCUGCAGAGGAGUGCAGGGGAGCGUGCCGGACACCAAGAGUAGAAUCAUAGAAUCAUAGAGUUGGAAGAGACCACAAGGGCCAUCGAGUCCAACCCCCUGCCAAGCAGGAACACCAUCAGAGCACUCCUGUCAUAUGGUUGUCAAGCCUCUGCUUAAAGACCUCCAAAGAAGGAGACUCCACCACACUCCUUGGCAGCAAAUUCCACUGGCAAACAGCUCUUACUGUCAGGAAGUUCUUCCUAAUGUUUAGGUGGAAUCUUCGUUCUUGUAGUUUGGAUCCACUGCUCCGUGUCCACUUCUCUGGAGCAGCAGAAAACAACCUUUCUCCCUCCUCUAUGUGACAUCCUUUUAUAUAUUUGAACAUGGCUAUCAUAUCACCCCUUAACCUCCUCUUCUCCAGGCUAAACAUGCCCAGCUCCCUUAGCUGUUCCUCAUAAGGCAUCGUUUCCAGGCCUUUGACCAUUUUGGUUGCCCUCCUCUGGACACGUUCCAGUUUGUCAAUGUCCUUCUUGAACUGUGGUGCCCAGAACUGGACACAGUACUCCAGGUGAGGUCUGACCAGAGCAGAAUACAGUGGCACUAUUACUUCCCUUGAUCUAGAUGCUAUACUCCUAUUGAUGCAGCCCAGAAUUGCAUUGGCUUUUUAGCUGCCGCGUCACACUGUUGGCUCAUGUCAAGUUUGUGGUCAACCAAGACUCCUAGAUCCUUUUCACAUGUACUGCUCUCAAGCCAGGUGUCCCCCAUCUUGUAUUUGUGCCUCUCCUUUUUUUUGCCCAAGUGCAAUACUUUACAUUUCUCCCUGUUAAAAUUCAUCUUGUUUGUUUUGGCCCAGUUCUCUAAUCUGUCAAGGUCGUUUUGAAGUGUGAUCCUGUCCUCUGGGGUGUUAGCCACCCCUCCCAAUUUGGUGUCAUCUGCAAAUUUGAUCAGGAUGCCCUUGAGUCCAUCAUCCAAGUCGUUGAUAAAGAUGUUGAAUAAGACCGGGCCCAAGACAGAACCCUGUGGCACCCCACUAGUCACUCUUCUCCAGGAUGAAGAGGAACCAUUGAUGAGCACCCUUUGGGUUCGGUCAGUCAGCCAGUUACAAAUCCACUGAGUGGUAGCAUAGUCAAGACCGCAUUUUACCAGCUUCUUUACAAGAAUAUCAUGAGGCACCUUGUCAAAUGCCUUGCUGAAAUCAAGGUAGGCUACAUCCACUGCGUUCCCUUCAUCUACCAGGCUUGUAAUUCUGUCAAAAACGAGAUCAGGUUAGUCUGACAUGACUUAUUUUUCAGAAAUCCAUGCUGACUGUUGGUGAUCACAGCAUUCCUUUCUAGGUGCUCACAGACUGUUUGCUUAAUGAUCUGCUCCAGAAUCUUCCCUGGUAUUGAUGUCAGACUGACUGGGCGGUAAUUAUUUGGGUCCUCUCUUUUCCCCUUUUUGAAAAUAGGGACAACAUUUGCCCUCCUCCAGUCUGCCGGGACUUCGCCUGUUCUCCAGGAAUUCUCAAAGAUGACUGCCAGUGGUUCUGAGAUCACAUCUGCCAGUUCUUUUAAUACUCUUGGAUGCAGUUCAUCUGGUCCUUGAGACUUGAAUACAUCUAAACUAGCCAAGUAUUCUUGUACUAUGUCCUUAGUUAUUCUGGGCUGUGUUUCCUUUGCUGAAUCAUUUGCUCCAAAUUCUUCAGGUCGGGCAUUGUUUUCUUUAUCGGAGAAGACUGAGGCAAAGAAGGCAUUGAGGAGUUCAGCCCUUUCUGUGUCCCCUGUUUGCAUUUCACCAUCUUCUCCUCUGAGUGACCCCACUGUUUCUUUGUUCUUCCUUUUGCUACGGACAUACCCAUAAAAGCCUUUUUGUUGCUUUUAACCUCUCUAGCAAGCCUGAGUUCAUUCUGUGCUUUAGCUUUUCUGACUUUGUGUCUACACGUGCUGGCUAUUUGUUUGAAUUCCUCUUUGGUGGUUUCCCCUUUUUCCAUUUUUUGUACACAUCCUUUUUUAAUCUUAACUCAGUUAAAAGUUCUUUAGAUAGCCACCCUGGCUUCUUUAGGCACCUUCCAUGUUUCUGUCUCAUUGGUAUUGCCUGACAUUGUGCUUUUAGUAUCUCCCUCUUAACAAACUCCCAGCCAUCAUGAACUCCCUUUCCUUUUAGUAUUACUGUCCAUGGGAUCUCACCCAGCACUUCCCUAAGUUUUAUGAAGUCAGCUUUCUUAAAGUCAAGAAAUUGAGUCCUAGUAUGCUUGGCUGCUCCUUUCCGCUGUAUAGUAAACUUCAGAAGAGCAUGAUCACUUGCGCCUAAUGAUCCUUCCACUUCUACCCCACUAACCAGGUCAUCAACAUUGGUUAGGACCAGAUCUAAAAUGGCUGUUCCUCUUGUUGCUUCUCCCACUUUCUGGACAAUGAAGUUGUCUGCAAGGCCAGUGAGGAAUCUGUUUGACCUUAUGCUCUUGGCUGAGUUUGACAUCCAACAAAUAUCCGGGUAAUUGAAGUCCCCCAUUACUACUAUCUCCCUUCCUUUUGCAUGCUUGGCCAUCUGUUCCAGGAAGGCAUCAUCUAUGUCCUCCGUUUGGCUUGGGGAUCUGUAGUAAACUCCCACAAUGAGGUCACUGUUAUUCUUCUCUCCCUUAAUUUUGACCCAAAUGCUCUCACUUUGGUUUUGAGGUUCUAAAUCUUGGAUCUCUUCACAGGUAUACACAUCCCUGACAUAUAACGCCACUCCUCCUCCUUUCUUGUCUGGUCUGUUUCUCUGAAAUAGAUUGUAUCCCCCCAUUAUUACAUUCCAAUCGUGGGACUUAUCCCACCAGGUUUCAGUGAUGCCUAUUAUGUCAUAUUUAGUUUGCUGUACCAAGAGCUCAAGCUCAUCUUGUUUAUUUCCCAUGCUUUGCGCAUGAGUAAAGCAAUAAAUCUUACCUAACAUGGUUAUGGGUCAACGUGAAGCAUGAGAGAAAGGGCUUUGAAGUUUUAUCUGCUGAUUGUCAGCUUGAUCGACUGCCGGAGACUUCAAAGAGGGCAGAUCGGAGGAGGCUGACAGAGAGUGGGAGCCAAGAGCCAUGACGUCCGGAGUUUCCAGUUUGGCUGAGUGAGUACCCUUUGGGAAAAGCCAACAGAAGGAAGCAAUGGCUCAGCCCUGUGAGCAUGGCUUUGAGUUUAAACUGCCAUGUCAGAAACUGACUAGCCAAAAUUGGCUGCAGUGGAGCUUUCAAGUGGAGCUUUUGCUAGUGGGGGAGCAGCAGUGGAAUGUAAUUCACCCCACACAGAAUGCAGCUGGGAAAGCAGAGGCUAAUAGAGCUGCAGAGCAAAGUGAAGUGGAGAAGCGUGUGCUUGCUUUUUUGGCAGAAAGUGUGGAUGCUCAUCUGGUGCCUGUUGUCCUGGGUGCAAGAAAGCCAGAGGCCGCUUGGCUAGCACUCCAAGAAGCUUGUGGAGCUGGAGUGGGAAGCAAGGGCCGAGAAGUGGCUGCAUCUGAAAGGGAGAGGCAAGAUGGCGCCGGCCACAUUCUUGAGAGCUGUGAGCCCCCACAGGGGGGCGAAGGGACUGUUGCUGUUGUUGUUGCUAGCACUGCUGCUUGUGCUUUUGCUGAGCCUGGGAGCUGUGUGGAUGCUGCAACGUGUCUGUGUGAAGAACCUGGACAGAGGCCAAGUGUUGGGAGCCCUUUACCCUUCAGAGGGGGUGCAGAAAAACGUCCUCGAGACCCCAUGAGCAGUGGGGGGGCAGUGAGCAGUGAAAGCUCAGAGACGCCUCUUUCUCCAAAAGCUGCCAAGAGUUGUUUACGUCGUGAGUCGGAGCCUGGGAAGCUGAAAAGUGCUAGAGGCUUCAAGGUCAGCCACCUGCAUCAAGUAGAGAUAAGAGCUUCAGAGUUGUGUGGGAACGCCGAGACAAGUCCAGUCUCCAUGGCAACUGAGAGAGUUGCAUCUACGGCAACUGUGAAGGUCGUGGGCAAGUCUUCCUGCCGGGGGGAGUCUGUUGCCGUGACAACCAGAGAGGACAUCUGCAGAAGCCCCAAGGAGGGGGGUAGUGAGGAGAUUGUUGCCCUGGCGACCCAGGAAUGUAAACAACAAGACUUUCUCACUAUAAUUAUCGACAGUGGUGCCUCAAAUUCGCUAGUGCCAUCUGCUGAUCUUUUGAGGAAUUGCAGGACAGUAAAAACUGAGAAGUAUGUUACGUUUGCAGGUGGAAGCAGAAAAAGGCUGACAGAGACAGGACUGUUCUUCUGUCCUUUUCUUAAGCAUGAAGUCAAAGCUUAUGCAGUGCCCGGUUUAACUAACUGUUUGUUAAGUGUGCAUGAUCUAUUGAUUGAUAAUUUUCAAAUUUCUUUUGCAGGUGACAAAUGUGAAUUCUCCAAGGAUGGGAAACACGUGUACACAGUGCAGUCUAAAGAUAAUUUGUUUGCUGUAAAUGUGCCUUUUUCCACAGGAGAGGAUGACACCGAAGAUGCGAAGGGCCAAUGUGUGAAUGUAGCGCCCCACAAUGGUUGUACACAUAUUUGGCACCGAUGCUUCGCUCAUUUGAAUUGGAGAUUUCUCCAGAAAGCACCAGAGCGGACACAAGGGUGCAAAUUUAAUGUUUGUGACAAAUUUCUAGAUUGCAAUGCAUGUAAACAGGCGAAAGUUGUGACAUGCUCAUAUCCAAAGUCAGAGAGGCAGACCACAGAACCCUUUGAAUUAAUUCAUGCAGAUUUGUGUGGACCCAUGUCUGUUGAGUCACUGGGAGGUUCAAGUAUUCUUUGCUUUUGAUUGAUGAUUUUUCGAGGUCUGCUUGGACCUUCUCUCUGAAAACGAAAGGGAGGCGGCUAAAAUGAUCAGGGAUUGGAUCACUGCAGUUGAGGUAACUUUUUCCACCAAAGUUCGUGGUUUUCAAAGUGACAGAGGUGCUGAAUUCACUGGUUCUGCUUUACAGGAUUUCUUUAGGGAGAAGGGGAUUAGCCACAGACUGACCGCUCCUUACUCUCCGCAACAGAAUGGGGUGGCAGAGAGAAAGAACAGGACGGUGCAGGAAGCUGUGUCUGCGAUCCUGUGGGACGCAGGGCUACCCCAGAAAUUUUGGUCGGAGGCUUGGCGAUAUGUGGUCCAUACCGAGAACAGAGUGUACAACUCUAGUGUAGGAAAUACACCGUAUUUCUUACUUCAUGGACGGAAGCCUAAGGUACACUACCUUCGUGUGUUUGGUUGUGAGGCUUGGGUGCUUAUUCCAAAGGCUCUACGCAAGAAAGGUGAGCCAAGAUCUAAAAGAAUGAUCUUUGUAGGGUAUGAGCCUGGCUCAAAGGCCUGGAGGUUUGCGUACCCAAGUGGAGACCAGUCUAGGUUGGUUAUCAGCAAUAGCGCUGAGUUCUGUGAGCAAGCUGGUUGGAAACGUCUGCACGCUAAUCCAGACGUGCUUCCACAGCAGUUCUAUGACUCAGACGAGGAGGAGGAGGAACUUGGAGCUGGGGACCACGGUCCAAGGCAGGGACAGCUCAGGAUCCCUCAGAGGGGGGAACCUAGAACACCUCCUCAGGCAAGUGUCAAGUUUGAGCCAAAGAGUGAGCCUUCUUCACCUGCUGGACCAGCUGUAAGGCCCAAGAGGCACAGCAGGUCAGAGGGGGAAGACACUGAAGUUGAGGAUGAUUUAGCUGGACCCAGUGAAGCGGCAGGGUCACCAGGAGUCACACUGAGGAGAUCAGCGAGGACAAGGAGGCCUCCUGAUCGGUACGACGCUUCAGGCGUCUGGGUAGGUUCUGCAAGAUGUGAACCUGAAUCCUUCGAGGAUAUUCAGAGUUUACCUGAGGAAGAAGCAGGCAAGUGGCACAGAGCAAUGGACAAAGAGAUGAAGUCCAUGAAAGAUCUAGGUGUCAAUGUUGAGCGUGCACAGGAUGGAAGUUUUUUGCUCAGCCAGAGAGGUAAAAUUGAGCAAUUGCUUCAGAAGUUCAGGAUGAGUGAUUGUGCAGGAGUGAGAAGUCCUAUGGAGACUAGUUUUGUGAAGGACAGCCAGCAAGCAGAACGCGCUGCGUUCGAAAAUACUGAAGUGUUUCAGUCAGCUCUAGGGAGUUUGUUGUACUUGUCCCAAUGGAGCAGACCUGAUAUAGCGUUUGCUGCCAAUCUGCUCAGCAGGGAAGCAUCAAACCCUAGUGUGCAAGCCUGGAAUGGCAUCAAGAGAGUUCUGAGGUAUUUGCAGGAGACCAAAGACUUUUGUCUUAGGUUGCCAGCACAAGGAGAAGUCAAACUGACUUGCUUUGUGGACUCGGAUUGGGCUAAUCUUGAGGAUCGCAAGUCUGUGUCUGGCCUAGUGGUGAAGUUUGGGAACUCAGUAGUUGGGUGGAGAUCCAAGAAGCAAAGUCUUAUAGCGCUCUCAUCCACUGAGGCUGAGUUUAGUGCUCUUUCAGAGAUGUGCAGAGAAGUAGAGUUCUAUGCUUGUUUGGUGCAGGAACUCUGCGAAGUGGAUUGUCUGCCGAUACGUGUUUUCGAGGACAAUCAACCAUGCCUGCGUUUGGCAGAGUCAGGUCAGUUCAAGGCCAGAACGAAACACCUAGACAUUCGCUUUCGGAAUGUGUGCCAAAGUGUUCAGGAGGGAUUAGUUGCGCUGAAGUAUUGUCCCUCUGCCAAGAAUCUAGCUGAUGGGUUCACGAAGCCACUCACCUUCCAAAGACAUGGGGAGUUUUGUGAAGGUCUGUGUUUGGGACGACCAAGGGUCGAUUCUCCCCUCAGGCGCGAGACAAGAGGGGGUGUUGGGUGUAGUGAAGGGUUAACCUUCUGUGUCUCGAGGCUGAGAGGAGGCGCUUACAAGGGAAGUAAGCCAGGACGUGACGGAAGCAGCUUGGAAUGCUGUGAGCUGAGUGAAAAGUGAAAGCAGCUUAGUUGCGCAGCUGCCACUGAGAGAGAAGGAUGCAAACAGGGAGCAAAAUGCAGCUUCAAUCAGAUGGUGUAUAUGAACUGUAAAUAUGCUAUUUCUGAGCAAAUAAAGUGCUACUAGGAAAGAAGAAACGUGUGGGACUCUUUUACUGCCCUUUCUACACAAACCGCUGUGCAAUUCUGCUAAUUGCUUUACAACCUGCAGAGGAGUGCAGGGGAGCGUGCCGGACACCAAGAGUAAAGCAAUAAAUCUUACCUAACAGUAUUCUUGCCACCUCUUCUUGAUGUCUUCUGCUUCUGUUAGAUCCUUACCACUUUUGUCCUUUAUUAUGGUAAUCUUUGUACGAAAUGUUCAUUUCAUAUCUACAACUUUCUUGAACAGAUCUCUGGUUCUUCGCAUUCUGUUGUUUUCCUCUGUUUCUUUGCAUUGCUCGUUUAAGAAGGCCUUCUUGUCUCUCCUUGCUAUUUUUUGGAAAUCUGCAUUCAAUUUCCUGUAUCUUUCACUAUCUCCCUCCCAUUUUGCUUGCCUUCUCUCCCCCGCUAUUUGUAAGGCCUCGUUAGACAGCCACUUUGCUUUAUUGCAUUUCCUUUUCAUUGGGAUGGUUUUUGUUGCUGCCUCCUGUAUAAUGUUACGAGCCGCCAUCCAUAGUUCUUCAGGCACUCUGUCCACCAAAUCUAAAUCCAUAAACCUGUUCCUCACUUCCACUGUGUAUUCAUAAGGGAUUUGAUUUAGAUUGUAUCUUACCCACCCAGUGGUUUUUCCUACUUUCUUCAGUUUAAGCUUGAAUUUUGCUAUAAGAAGCUGACGAUCUGAGCCAUAGUCAGCUCCAGGUCUUGUUUUUGCUGACUGUAUAGAGCUUCUCCAUCUUUGGCUGCAGGGAAUAUAAUCAAUCUGAUUUCGAUGCUGCCCAUCUGGUGAUGUCCAUGUGUAGAGUCGUCUCUUGUGCUGUUGGAAAAGAGUGUUUGUGAUGACCAGCUUGUUCUCUUGGCAGAACUCUAUUAGCUUUUGCCCUGCUUCGUUUUGAACUCCAAGGCCAAACUUGCCAGUUGUUCCUUUUAUCUCUUGAUUCCCUACUUUAGCAUUCCAAUCCCCUAUAAUGAGAAGAACAUCCUUCUUUGGUGUCAUUUCUAGAAGGUGUUGUAAGUCUUCAUAGAACUGAUCAAUUUCAGUUUCUUCAGCACCAGUAGUUGGUGCAUAAACUUGGAUUACUGUGAUGUUAAAAGGUCUGCCUUGGAUUCGUAUCGAGAUCAUUCUAUCAUUUUUGAGAUUGCAUCCCAGUACAGCUUUCACCACUCUUUUGUUGACUAUGAGGGCCACUCCAUUUCUUUUACAGGAUUCUUGCCUACAGUAGUAGAUAUGAUGGUCAUCCGAACUGAAAUUGCCCAUUCCCGUCCAUUUUAGUUCACUGAUGCCCAGGAUGUCAAUAUUUAUUCUUGCCAUCUCAUUUUUGACCACAUCCAACUUGCCCAGGUUCAUGGUUCUUACAUUCCAGGUUCCUAUGCAAUAUUUUUCUUUACAACAUUGGACUUUCCUUUCGCUUUCAGGCAUAUCCGCAACUGAGCGACCUUUCGGCUUUGGCCCAGCCACUUCAUCAGCUCUGAAUCUACUUGUACUUGUUCUCCGCUCUUCCUCAGUAGCAUGUUGGACGCCUUCUGACCUGAGGGGCUCAUCUUCCAGCGCCAUAACUUAUAUAUGCCUGUUGUCUUUGUCCAUGGAGUUUUCUUGGCAGGGAUACUGGAGUGGCUUGCCGGUUCCUGCUCCAGGUGGAUCACGUUUGGUCAAAACUCUCCACUAUGAACUGUCCAUCUUGGGUGGCCCUGCACGGCAUAGCUCAUAGCUUCUCUGAGUUAUUCAAGCCCCUUCGCCACGGCAAGGCAGUGAUCCAUGAAGGAGAAUAUACUAUUACUGUGUUGAUAACAUGUUGCUGCUUGCAGAACAUGCCCAAAAUAAAACCUCUGUCUGGAGGGGGUCCCUAGUGAUGCUGGAAGCAGACCAGAGAGUUAACAUUCAGGGUUCAUCCCCACUUCUGUUUGUGCUGCAAUUUCUAGGCACAGGUCUGAGUGCUGGGGUUUUUUGCCCUGCAGCUUUCCCCAGGAAAAUUUGCUGUUUACUGCUAAAUUGAAACAAACAUCGGUUGGGUCUUCCACAGAGUGACGCUUGUUCCGAUUCAAGCCUACUAGGCCUGAAUCAAACAGGAGUGAGGAUGAGCAGUCAGUGGAGGGGAAACCUUCUCUCAUUUGAGUGCCUUCUGCAGGCAAUCUCUUGCUUGUGUGCUCAGCCUUUGCUAAACUGUAAAGAAUUACUUUUUGCACCACACGGAAACUUUCUCCUUCAUGGCCCUUGAUCUGCUCCUUUCACCUGACCCCGUAAUUAAAUCCCUGCGUGAGGCCCUUGUUGGUGUGACAUCACAUGCCCUUGCCAUGGGGCAGUUGGCACAUAUCAUGGAAGGGGGCAGUCAGAAAGCCUUGCUGGCUCUAAAGGGUCUCAUCAUUCACAGAUGGGAGAUAAGUGUCUGCUUGAAGGCCCCCUCCAUCCAUGCUGGCAGGGAAUAAGGCAGGAAAUGAGAUUUGGAAAAGGCUGUAAAAGGCAGAGAUAGAGGAGGUAAGGAGAGGGAAAGGGAAGCACAUCUUACAAACCACGAAUGCUGCGUGGUUCCAUUCCAGAUAACGGGGCCACUUACACACCACCCAAAGGAGGACCAGGUUCCAUGAAAAUGAUAAGAAAUAUUUGCAUAGUGUGGGGAGUGGUUAGAACUUUGGGCUUGGGCCUGGAGACCAGGGUUCCAUUCCCCACUCACUGGGUGACUUCAGGCCUCUCAGACAGACCCACCUUACAAGAUGGUUGUGAGGAUAAAAUGGGCAGGGGAAAAGACCUGCAUGCAACACUGAGCUUUGUGGAGGAAAGGUGGGUUAUAAAUGUAAAUUAAAAAAUAAAUAAAUAAAUAAUAGCAGCAGAUGCUUAUUUUAUAUACAUAGAUGGAAUCUUUGAAAUGAUUGCUACAGUUUAAAUUAGAAAUACACACCAGAGUAAUACACUAUAUCUCACCAUGGUGAGAAGACUGUGACUAGGUAACUUUUGUGCCUUCAUAAAUUCAUUCCAUGUCAUAUUAAGAAGGGGAUUUUUUUAUGUCAUUGUCAGAAUUAAUCCCUACCUAGGGGUCUCCCUGGAGGAGAAGCAAGGGUGAAGGAUCUACUUCCAGCAGAGCUCCGCACUACCAGUGGCCCUGAGGAGUUGUGCAAUCCAGACAUCUCCACUUCCUGCAUGGUUCUGGGAUGGCUUCAUUCCCAGAGCUACAGGAGCAGAGGAGACAGUGAGCCAGAGGCUGUUCAGGAAGCCCAGGAAGCUCAUCUAAGCCUCUGCCCAGGUCAAGACCUUUCCAAGAGCUAGGAAGGGGUGGAACUGCCUGUGCCUAUGUAAGCCCUCAGCCUGAGCUACAGCACUGGACAGUUGCAGUGGCGUGCGGUCACUGGACUAAGGAGACUAGGCCUGUCCCUGAAAGGGUCCAAGAGUCCUCCCACCACCUUCCCAAAUCUCACCUGGCUUUAGGAAGGAGGCAGCAGGGCUCCAGCAUCCUGUCAGAGUCCUGGCGCCUCCUUCCCAAAGCCCAGGAAGCUUCUGCCCAGCUUAGGGAGGGAGGCACAAUGCUCAUGCGCAUGAUGUCAGGACAUCAUGCAUGCAACAUUGCUGCCACCCCACCCCACCCCACAUCACCCUCACAAGCUGGCACCUCUGGCCCUAACUGUUCCUCUACGAAAAAUGUCACUGCCCACCACUGGAUGGCCGUGAACCUAUUGCUAAUCAACAGCAUUAGGUGACUCCAAAGUUCAAGUACUAGGGAGGGAGCACACUUCUUUAGCCACAAGCCCCUGCACAACAUUGUUGUAUAAACCUCCUAUUGUGUUCCUGUUGCAGCUCAGUCCUUUAUGCAAGGAAGCCCUACUGAAGUCAGUGUGGGGCUGACUCCAAGCUAAAUGCACAUAGAAGUGUGGUUUUAAAAGUCAUUUCUAGAAACUGAAAAGCCUCAGAUGUGGUAUUUCCCUUUCUUCCUGCAGUCCCUGAUGUCUGUGGUUCCCCUUGAAAGUAGCUUCACCCCUAUGAUAACCUUCUGGAGAUGGAACUGGACACAAUAUCCCAAGUGGGGCUGCAGGAUCUAAGAACAUUAUGAUCUGUGCACAUUAUUAUUUUCAAUCCUUUUCGCCAAGUCUCAGUGUGGCUUGUCAGAACAGGAAGGUGGAGGGCAUCUCUGCUGUGUUUGAGCAAAAUAUUCCAUCCUAAGCUACAAACCUCAAGAAUGGCUUAUGGUUUCUAUGAAAGGGAGAUGGCUUGUUAGUUCAUCUUUGGCUUUGGGGGCUUCUCUGAGGAAAGGCAAGUCCCAGCCGCUCCCUGAGGGCCCAGCUGGUUUCUGUGAUGUAGAGAGUUAAAAGGGAUGCCAGCCUUCCUUAAAUUUACUACAGAGUGUUUCUCAGUGAAGCAUUUAAAAGCAGCAGCAACAAAAACAUCAAAAACCUUUGCAAUGCAAAGGAGGUUUUGAACUAAUGGGAAACAUUAAUAAAGCUCAUCUCAAUCAGCACAAGGCCAGAAAGAGACAGUUUGGGCGGCAGGCUAAUUAAACACUGUGAUGUUGUCUCUCUUUUCUUCCCCUCCACUGUCACCAGAGCAUGCUGCCUCCUUUCAGAGGAUGGUCUGACUCACAGAAAGUUAAGUUCUGACGACGUUGGGAGCAGCGUGGGCCAGGAAAGAGGAAAUGCACCGCUGAUGAGUCCAAGCAAAGUGGUGGAGGUGGUUGACGUGACGUGCAGCACGUAUCACUCGUGUCUCCUUGUGCUUUUGUGGCAUGCAUGAGCCUUGAGUCUCAAGUGAGAGCAUUUUAGUUUACUCCAUCACUGGGGGCAAACCUCCCUGGUCUGCAUCCAGAUGGAACAAGCUGGGAUCGGAAUGUGGAAGUGCAGACUAAACCACAUGCCUACAAAACACUCCAAGCACAGUUCACUCCAGCUUAUGCCUGUUUGUUUUUAUGAGACAGUAGAGGGCAAAAGUGGUAAGGACUUAACAGAAGCAGAAGACAUCAAGAAGAGGUGGCAAUAAUACCCAGAGGAAUUACCAUACCAGAAAGAUAUGGAUGUCUCGUACACCCCAGGUAGUGUGGUUGCUGACCUUGAGCCAGACAUCCUGGAAAGUGAAGUCAAAUGGGCCUUAGAAAGCACUGCAAAUAACAAGGCCAGUGGAAGUGAUGACAUUCCAGCUGAACUAUUAAAAUUUUUAAAAAGAUGAUGCUGUUAAGGUACUACACUCAAUAUGCCAGCAAGUUUGGAAAACUCAGCAGUGGCCAGAGGAUUGGAAAAGAUCAAUCUACAUCCCAAUCCCAAAGAAGGGCAGUGCCAAAGAAUGCUCCAACUACCGCACAAUUGCACUCAUUUCACAUGCUAGCAAGAUUAUGCUAAAAAUUCUACAAGGUAGGCUUAAGCAGUAUGUAGACCAAGGACUCCAGAAGUGCAAGCUGGAUUACAAAGGGGCAGAGGAAAACCAGAGACCAAAUUGCAAACAUGCGCUGGAUUGUGGAGAAAGCUAGAGAGUUCCAGAAAAACAUCUACUUCUGCUUCAUUGACUAUGCAAAAGCCUUUGAGUGUGUUGACCACAGCAAACUAUGGCAAGUUCUUAAAGGAAUGGGAGUGCCUGAUCACCUCAUCUGUCUCCUGAGAAAUCUCUAUGUGGGAGAAGAAGCUACAGUUAGAACUGGAUAUGGAACAACUGAUUGGUUCAAAAUUGGGACAGGAGUACGACAAGGCUGUAUAUUGUCUCCCUGCUUAUUUAACUUAUAUGCAGAAUUCAUCAUGCGAAAGGCUGGGCAGGAUGAAUCCCAAGCCGGAAUUAAGAUUGCCGGAAGAAAUAUCAACAACCUCAGAUAUGCAGAUGACACAACUUUGAUGGCAGAAAGUGAGGAGGAAUUAAAGAACCUUUUAAUGAGGGUGAAAGAGGAGAACGCAAAAUAUGGUCUGAAGCUCAACAUCAAAAAUACAAAGAUCAUGGCCACUGGUCCCAUCACCUCCUGGCAAAUAGAAGGGGAAGAAAUGGAGGCAGUGAGAGAUUUUACUUUCUUGGGCUCCAUGAUCACUGCAGAUGGUGACAGCAGCCACGAAAUUAAAAGACGCCUGCUUCUUGGGAGAAAAGCAAUGACAAACCUAGACAGCAUCUUAAAAAGCAGAGAUAUCACCUUGCCAACAAAGGUCCAUAUAGUAAAAGCUAUGGUUUUCCCAGCAGUGAUGUAUGGAAGUGAGAGCUGGACCAUAGAGAAGGCUGAUCGCCAAAGAAUUGAUGCUUUUGAAUUAUGGUGCUGAAGGAGAGUCCCAUGCAAGAAGAUCAAACCUAUCCAUUCUUAAGGAAAUCAGUCUUGGAGUGCUCACUGAGUGCUCACUGGAAGGACAGAUCGUGAAGCUGAGGCUCCAAGACUUUGGCCACCUCAUGAGAAGAGAAGACUUCCUGGAAAAGACCCUGAUGUUGGGAAAGAUGGAGGGCACAAGGAGAAGGGGAUGACAGUGUUCUCAAAGCUGUUAACAUGAGUUUCACCAAACUGCAGGAGGCAGCGGAAGACAGGAGUGCCUGGCGUGCGAAGAGCUGGAUACGACUAAACGACAAUAACAGAGGACGCUGUGCAGAAAAAAAGAUGGCUGUUUCCAUAGGUACAUAGGUACAUUUCUUCCUGUUUCUGAUGAAUUUUCAUGAGGAUUUAAAAAUACGAUCACAAACUGAUGUGGGAGUGUGCAGAACUGAACUGGAAACUGGAAAAAAGGAGAAAUUAAGAGAAAUUGGACACAUUAUAUUAUUAAAUAAUUAAUUAUCAUUUAAACUCUAAAUCACUCUUUUUUCCAAACGUAUUAUUGUGUGUUGCUGUGAUCACAUACACUGAAACUAGUAUAAAAACUAAAAUUUGAACAGGCAAUCAUAUUUUUAAAAGGCAGGAUUAAAACAUUCCUCCCACUCAAGGAGGCCACAGAUAAUUAAAAGCCAAAGGCCUGGCAGCAAAUGUUUUUGCCUGGUGCCUAAAGAUAUGCGGUGAUGGUGCCUGCAAGCCUUCCCGGGUAGAGCAUUCCACAAGCAGGGAGUCACCACUGAGAAGGCCCGAUCUCGUCUUGCCACCCUCUGGCCCUCCCAUAGAGGGGGGCCAUAUGGUGAAGGGCCUCCGAUGACAAUAGCGGGGUCUAGGCUGGUUCAUAAGGGAAGAGAAGAUCCUUGAGGUAUCGGGGUCCUGAGCCACAUAAAACGCUUUGGGUCCAAACCAGCACUAUGAAACUAAUUGGUGGAGGCUUCCGGUUUCUGUCGCAAGCAGAAAGGGAGCGCAGAAAACCCUCGGAGGAGUUUUCUGAGUAAUACAGGGGCUUGGGGGAGCCGCAAAGACACUGCGCCCCCCAAAAAUCUCAAGGGGGAGACCCUUGAGGGAUAAGAUACCCAGCCGCGUGGAAGCGGUUUCGUUGUUUUUUCGGGUUUUUUUUUCUUUGGAAGAUCUCGAGGGCGGCGAGACUGCAAGCACAAAAGGGAAAGCAUCGACCCUGUAUUACGAUGCCUCUGGCUCUCACUGAAGAAAGCGACGAACCUCCAAAAUUGUAAGAACGGAACCCUUAGUGUGAGUAGACUUUUUUUAUGCUAUAAAAUCUAAAAAUGCACUAAGAGAACGUUGGAUGUUAGAAGAUUUAAUUCAGGAACUCACCUCGGCGGAGGAUUAAAAUGGCGCAGGCUACGAAGUCGCAAGGAGGAGGAAGGAAGUAUCCCUUUGCCUGACUGAGUGAAUACAAAGUAAACGUCUCGGACUCUACUGUCGAGAUUAAAGAAUCUGAAACAUUCCACUAAUUGGGAACUCUGUUUGCCGUUUUCGGGGGAGUAAGAAAGAGAAAGGAAACUUUACAGACCCGUGUAAUAUAAAACUUUUUAGAGCCGCAUAAAAGGACAGUUGGAAGGAGUGGGGGGGGGAAAGAGAAGAGAUUAGAAGGAGAUUAGAAGGACAGUUUGAAAAACGGCUCAAAGAGACAAAAAGAGAAACCCUGAAAAGAAAUUUUCCUCACUCUGGGACUUUUUCUAUGAACGUUAGAGUGGCUUGGAUAGAAAACCUAAGAAUCUUACCCUCUGUCUUUUCCUACCUUUUUUUUUUCUUCUUCCCUAUUUUACUGCUUUCCAUUUUCUGCCUUCUUUUCUUCCCCCCUCUGUUCUCUCCCAAAAUAACAUAAUUAACAACUCAUCUUUCCUACCCCCAGUUUUGAGAAAAAUUUAACCUGACCUCACCAUCGGCAGGAUUUGAUCCAGUUCAAGACGCUUACCCACAUCUCGAGUUAAUCAAUCAUUUGAACUCUAACAAUUCAGAAAAGUAAAUUAUUUGAACAUUAAUAACUCAAAAAGGCUAUAGAACACACAAAGAGUUUAUAUAUUGAAUAUAUUGAAUAACCUCAGACCCUGAAAGUUGGGCACCAUCUCACUCUUUUUUUGAAUACUUAUUGAAAUAUAUACAUCCCCCUCCAGGAUUACAAAGACUGAUUUCACAGAACUAAGGACCUGAGGUAAAUAGACGGUAAUGAUUGUCUGAAAAUAUCCUUUGUGAAGGGGACUAGGCCGACGAGUGGCUGAAAUUACAGAAUUUGAUAGAGACUGAACAAUUUUCCUUGGACUACAAAAAGAGACUACCACUUUUGAUUUUUGUCUAUAUUUGUGUUCUUUGUUCUUCUGUUUUUGGAACUAACAUACUAAUAUACUAAUAUACUAACACAAUCAAAUUUAUGUUGGCACAAGGUCACUGAUAAGGCUAAUGGGAUUGGACAAUAUUGAAUAAGUUAAUGAAAGACUUCUCUCUUCUUUUGGGGGGAAAAGCUGGAUUGAAUUUAAGGGGGACAUGAUACUAAGGAAAACAAAGAGAUAUAAGGAAAGUGAUAUAAGAACAGAUAAAUAAAAGUGUUGAAAAGACAGAAAGGGUAAAAGAGAGAUUGUGCGCCCUCUAGGGGAGAGAGUAAAAAAUAAAGUUGGUUAUUGAGAAAUUAACCGCAAAAUGUUGGGGAAAACGGGAAAAAAGUAGGAGGGACGCCAGGAGAGAGAAAGGCAUCCCGACAGGAGGAAAUUAGAGAUUUAGACAUUUUAUGGUUAAAGAUUAAGAAGGAAUUUCAACAAAGUGAAUUACAUAUGGAAAGCAAAUUAGGAGAGAUACAGGAACAGAUAGACAGGAAAAUUGAGGGUGCUGUAGGAGAACUCUCUAGCAAGAUACAAGACUUGACAGUUAAGUCAAAAAUAAUUGAAGAAACAAAUAAAAGAAAUCAAAAAGAAUUGAAGGACCAAAAGAAGGAGACAGAAAAUUAAAGAAAGAAAUAAAAGACUUAAAUAAAACGCAAGAUCAAUUAUGGGACAAUCUAGCCAUGACAGAAAUGCGUCAGAAACAACUCAAUUUAAAAUUUAGAGGUGUAGCAGAAGAAGUAAACGAGAACAUAAGAGAAAAAAUGAUAAAAGAACUUGCAAAAUGGUUGGAGAUAAAAGAAGAACAAGUAGCAUACACGAUAGAAAGUGCGUUCAGAAUAAGAGUGAAAUCCCAACCAAUUAAAUCAAAAAAACUUCCCGGUGAUUGUUUAGUUAUAUUUAACUCAAUUGAAAUGAAGAAUACAAUACUAAGAACAAGCUACCAAAGAAAGUUAGAAUCAUAGAAUCAUAGAAUCAUAGAAUCAUAGAGCUGGAAGAGACCACAAGGGCCAUCGAGUCCAACCCCCUGCCAAGCAGGAAACACCAUCAGAGCACUCCUGACAUAUGGUUGUCAAGCCUCUGCUUAAAGACCUCCAAAGAAGGAGACUCCACCACACUCCUUGGCAGCAAAUUCCACUGUCGAACAGCUCUUACUGUCAGGAAGUUCUUCCUAAUGUUUAGGUGGAAUCUUCUUUCUUGUAGUUUGGAUCCAUUGCUCCGUGUCCGCUUCUCUGGAGCAGCAGAAAACAACCUUUCUCCCUCCUCUAUGUGACAUCCUUUUAUAUAUUUGAACAUGGCUAUCAUAUCACCCCUUAGCCUCCUCUUCUCCAGGCUAAACAUGCCCAGCUCCCUUAGCCGUUCCUCAUAAGGCAUCGUUUCCAGGCCUUUGACCAUUUUGGUUGCCCUCCUCUGGACACGUUCCAGUUUGUCAGUGUCCUUCAUGAACUGUGGUGCCCAGAACUGGACACAGUACUCCAGGUGAGGUCUGACCAGAGCAGAAUACAGUGGCACUAUUACUUCCCUUGAUCUAGAUGCUAUACUCCUAUUGAUGCAGCCCAGAAUUGCAUUGGCUUUUUUAGCUGCCGCGUCACACUGUUGGCUCAUGUCAAGUUUGUGGUCAACCAAGACUCCUAGAUCCUUUUCACAUGUACUGCUCUCAAGCCAGGUGUCCCCCAUCUUGUAUUUGUGCCUCUCCUUUUUUUUGCCCAAGUGCAAUACUUUACAUUUCUCCCUGUUAAAAUUCAUCUUGUUUGUUUUGGCCCAGUUCUCUAAUCUGUCAAGGUCGUUUUGAAGUGUGAUCCUGUCCUCUGGGGUGUUAGCCACCCCUCCCAGUUUGGUGUCAUCUGCAAAUUUGAUCAGGAUGCCCUUGAGUCCAUCAUCCAAGUCGUUGAUAAAGAUGUUGAAUAAGACCGGGCCCAAGACAGAACCCUGUGGCACCCCACUAGUCACUCUUCUCCAGGAUGAAGAGGAACCAUUCAUGAGCACCCUUUGGGUUCGGUCAGUCAGCCUGUUACAAAUCCACUGAGUGGUAGCAUAGUCAAGACCACAUUUUACCAGCUUCUUUACAAGAAUAUCAUGAGGCACCUUGUCAAAUGCCUUGCUGAAAUCAAGGUAGGCUACAUCCACUGCGUUCCCUUCAUCUACCAGGCUUGUAAUUCUGUCAAAAACGAGAUUAGGUUAGUCUGACAUGACUUAUUUUUCAGAAAUCCAUGCUGACUAUUGGUGAUCACAGCAUUCCUUUCUAGGUGCUCACAGACUGUUUGCUUAAUGAUCUGCUCCAGAAUCUUCCCUGGUAUUGAUGUCAGACUGACUGGGCGGUAAUUAUUUGGGUCCUCUCUUUUCCCUUUUUGAAAAUAGGGACAACAUUUGCCCUCCUCCAGUCUGCCGGGACUUCGCCUGUUCUCCAGGAAUUCUCAAAGAUGACUGCCAGUGGUUCUGAGAUCACAUCUGCCAGUUCUUUUAAUACUCUUGGAUGCAGUUCAUCUGGCCCUGGAGACUUGAAUACAUCUAAACUAGCCAAGUAUUCUUGUACUAUCUCCUUAGUUAUUCUGGGCUGUGUUUCCUUUGCUGAAUCAUUUGCUCCAAAUUCUUCAGGUCGGGCAUUGUUUUCUUUAUCGGCGAAGACUGAGGCAAAGAAGGCAUUGAGGAGUUCAGCCCUUUCUGUGUCCCCUGUUUGCAUUUCACCAUCUUCUCCUCUGAAUGACCCCACUGUUUCUUUGUUCUUCCUUUUGCUACGAACAUACCCAUAAAAGCCUUUUUGUUGCUUUUAACCUCUCUAGCAAGCCUGAGUUCAUUCUGUGCUUUAGCUUUUCUGACUUUGUGUCUACACGUGCUGGCUAUUUGUUUGAAUUCCUCUUUGGUGGUUUCCCCCUUUUCCAUUUUUGUACACAUCCUUUUUAAUCUUAACUCAGUUAAAAGUUCUUUAGAUAGCCACCCUGGCUUCUUUAGGCACCUUCCAUGUUUCCAUCUCAUUGGUAUUGCCUGACGUUGUGCUUUUAGUAUCUCCCUCUUAACAAACUCCCAGCCAUCAUGAACUCCCUUUCCUUUUAGUAUUACUGUAUUUAGUAUUAAUGAUUGGAGGCUGCCCAAUUAUUAUUUUUAAAGAAAUUCCAAUCAGGAUUCUGCGCAAAAGGGAAGGAUAUAGACAAAUAACAAAUGUUCUGAAGAGAAAUACAAUACAGUAUAAAUGGGAAUUCCCAGAAGGGAUCUCCUUCUUUUAUAAGAACAAAAGGUUUAAAUUGACAGACAUACAAGAAGUGGAAAAGUUUCUGAGAAGAUAUGAAAAGGAUCUUGGAAAAGAAGAAGAAAGACCUGCAGGAGGAGAGAUGAACGUAGAGGAGAGGAGGGGAAGAGGGGGGAAAGAGGCUGAAGGGACGGAGAGGAGGGGAGGAGAAGUAGAGGGAGAGGUGGAGGAGCUGGAAUCGGGGGAGGAAGAGGAGGGGGAAGACGAAGAAACCACUGGAAAUAGCAGUACUAGAAUUUAAAUUAGAAAUUAGGAUAAAGUGUACGCUAGUCAAAUAUUGAAAUGACCCUUAAGUUUUUGUCCUGGAAUCUGAACGGUCUCAACGAAAAGUCUAAGAGAAAUAAAUUUGAGAAAAUUAUAAAGAAAAAAAAACAUUGAUGUGAUUUGUUGCCAAGAAACACAUGUCGCCAAAAAACACAAACAUAUUCUAAUAAAUAAAAAGUUGGGAAAAGAGUUUAUCAACUCAGAUUCUAAGGAAAAAAAAGGGGUAGUGUCAGAGCUGCUUCCAGAUCCUAGCUCACAGAGGAUCACGCUAGCCAGCGAUCAUUAAGCAAAAGUCUUUAUUGAGUUACAGUUUCCAUUCUCAAGCUGCUGCGUGCAACUCUACGUCUCAUGCUUAGACCGGCGAAGCUCCGUCUGAGUCUCCGCCCCUUGUACACCAACUUAAUAUCCUAGCCCUGCUCCACCUUUUCCGCCUGACUGUUCUUCUCUGGGUCCCUCUGCCCCCCGGGGUCUCUUCCUUCCGGGAUUCCUCUGACGCUGACGCUGACUCCCCUGACUCUUCUCCCUCCUUUCGGCGGGCUUUGGGACCUGGCUCCCUUUCCGGGCUGCCUACUGCGCCACCUUCCUGUGCAUUUGAACUUGGCGCGCGCGCCCAACCUUCCACCUUCCGUCUGACCGUUUCUUCGCUCCCCGAUGGAGGUGUG
Molecule: long non-coding RNA, 21067 nt
Filed under: Podarcis lilfordi (Lilford's wall lizard)
Lineage: Eukaryota; Metazoa; Chordata; Lepidosauria; Squamata; Lacertidae
Source: RNAcentral